GGAAGGUUGGCUCAAUGGUACAGCAGCGGUUUGCUAAACCGCCGUCGGGACUUCCCGGCAUGCAGGUUCGAGUCCUGCACCUUCCG
RNAcentral lists this transfer RNA (86 nucleotides) under Acidithiobacillus ferrooxidans ATCC 23270. It matches the Rfam family "tRNA". Rfam says of the family: Transfer RNA (tRNA) molecules are approximately 80 nucleotides in length. Their secondary structure includes four short double-helical elements and three loops (D, anti-codon, and T loops). Lineage: Bacteria; Pseudomonadati; Pseudomonadota; Acidithiobacillia; Acidithiobacillales; Acidithiobacillaceae. The record is from Rfam by way of RNAcentral.